GAUGAGGACACUUGGUCUGGCUUCUGGUCAGCACUGAGUGGUCCGAGUCCUUUUUCUGGGGAAUCAAGGUGCUCUUCACUGAGUGCCUUGAGGAGCCAGGACGAUUACCUUGAAAAAAAUAGAGUGUUCAAAGCAGGCUAUUGCUUGAAUAUCUUAGCAUGGAAUAAUAAAAUAGGACUUUGGUUCUAUUUUGUUGGUUUUAAGGACCAAUGUC
This 214-nucleotide ribosomal RNA is filed under the name uncultured fungus. Its description in RNAcentral is "partial small subunit ribosomal RNA". The stretch from base 88 to 214 matches the Rfam family "Eukaryotic small subunit ribosomal RNA", at positions 735 to 864 of the family's 1831-position model. The record is from RNAcentral. Lineage: Eukaryota; Fungi.